AACUUUUAGCAACGGAUCACUUGGCUCCUGCAGCGAGGAAGAACGCGGCAAGCGGCGAUACGUGACACGACGUGCGACGAGUGUCGAAUUUUCGAAUGCAAUGCGCUGCGGCGGCGCUGUCUGACGGUCAACAUUCUUUUUUGCUUCGCAUUUCUCUGCUUUGCAGAGAAGGGCAGCAGUGUGUUUCUCCUUUGCAGAGAAGGGCAGCAGUGUGUUUCUCCUUUGCAGAGAAGGGCAGCAGUGUGUGUUAGCUGAGACAUCAGUGUUAGCUGAGACAUCAAAGACAGGACGGGUGACGGCAGAAGGCAGCCACCCAGCAGACAAACGACGUCAGACAGCGCAGACGACCCGCCGAACUUAAGCAUAUCAAUAAGCGGAGGCU
Molecule: unclassified non-coding RNA, 382 nt
Filed under: uncultured Ascomycota
Lineage: Eukaryota; Fungi; Ascomycota
Description: sequence contains ITS2
Rfam family: 5.8S ribosomal RNA (bases 1-130)
Source: RNAcentral